GGUGAGGAAACUGAAAGCCACCGAGGAAAAGGGGGGCGCUCCUUAAGAAGUGCCGCGGUCACGUGUACGUUUCAAAAGAAUGGCGUGACUGAGUAGGGAGGGGACCGCGGAGACCCUCAGACCCUGGACUGUAAGGAGAUGAGGGGCCGUGAAGGGGAACCCAGGAAACUGAGUCCUGAAAGCAAGGAGGAGCUUCCAGAAUGAAGGGCGCCGUCACGCCUCCCUGCCUUUGCUCAAGCGGUUCC
This 245-nucleotide long non-coding RNA is filed under the name Homo sapiens (human). RNAcentral's name for it is "HSALNT0232574". Lineage: Eukaryota; Metazoa; Chordata; Mammalia; Primates; Hominidae. The record is from RNAcentral.